UGGUAACCCGCUGGGGUCCCCUUCUACACUGUGGAAGCUUUGUUCUUUGCAAUAAAUCUUGCUACUGCUUACUCUUUGGGUCCACAUUGCUUUUAUGAGCUAUAACACUCACCGCGAAGGUCUGCAGCUACACUCCUGAAGCUAGCGAGACCAUGAGCCCACUGGGAGGAAAAAACAACUCCAGACGCGCUGCCUUAAGAGCUGUAACACUCACCGCGAAGGUCUGCAGCUUCACUCCUGAGCCAGCGAGACCACGAACCCAACAGAAGGAAAAAUCUCCGAACACAUCCAAACAUCAGAAGGAACAAACUCCAGUGCGCCACCUUAAGAGCUGUAACACUCACCACGAGGGUCCGCGGCUUCAUUCCUGAAGUCAGUGAGACCAAGAACCCGCCAAUUCCAGACACGUUUUGGCAACCCAGAUGGGACUUUCGCCUAUCGCCAAGUGGUGAGACAAUCGCCGAGCAGUGAGACCAUCGCCUAUUGCUGAGCAAAUUGAGGCCAUCAAGCUACAGAUGGUCUUACAAAUGGAACCCCAAAUGAGUUCAACUAACAACUUCUACCGAGGACCCCUGGACCGACCCACUGGCACUUCCCCUGGCCUAGAGAGUUCCCCUCUGAAGGACACCACAACUACAGGGCCCCUUCUUCGCCUCUAUCCAGCAGGAAGUAGCUAGAGUGGUCAUCGGCCAAAUUCCCAACAGCAGUUGGGGUGUCCUGUUUAGAGGGGGGAUUGAGAGAUGACAGCGUGCUGGCAGUCCUCACAGCCCUCGCUCGCUCUCGGCGUCUCCUCUGCCUGGGCUCCCACUUUGGCGGCACUUGAGGAGCACUUCAGCCCACUGCUGCACUGUGGGAGCCCCUUUCUGGGCUGGCCGAGGCUGGAGCCGGCUCCCUCAGCUUGCAGGGAGGUGUGGAGGGAGAGGUGCGAGUGGGAACCCGGGCUGUGCGCGGCGCUUGUGGGCCAGCUGGAGUUCCGGGUGGGCGUGGGCUUGGUGGGCCCCGCACUCGGAGCAGCCGGCCGGCCCUGCCAGCCCCGGGCAAUGAGGGGCUUAGCACCCGGGCCAGCGGCUGCGGAGGGUGUACUGGGUCCCCCAGCAGUGCCAGCCCGCUGGCGCUGCGCUCGAUUUCUCACCAGGCCUUAGCUGCCUUCCCAUGGGGCAGGGCUCGGGACCGGCAGCCCAUCAUGCCUGAGCCUCCCACCCCCUCCGUGGGCUCCCAAGCCUCCCCGGUGUGUCCGGAGCCUCCCCGAUGAGCACCGCCCCCUGCUCCAUGGUGCCCAGUUCCAUUGACCACCCAAGGGCUGGGGAGUGUGGGCGCACAGCGUGGGACUGGCAGGCAGCUCCACCUGCAGCCCUGAUGUGGGAUCCACUGGGUGAAGCCAGCUGGGCUCCUGAGUCUGGUGGGGACGUGGAGAACCUUUAUGUCUAGCCCAGGGAUUGUAAAUACACCAAUCGGCACUCUGUAUCUAGCUCAAGGUUUGUAAACACACCAAUCAGCACCCUGUGUCUAGCUCAGGGUUUGUGAAUGCACCAAUCCACAAUCUGUAUCUAACUACUCUGGUGGGGACUUGGAGAACCUUUGUGUGGACACUCUGUAUCUAGCCCAUCUAGUGAGGAGGUGGAGAACCUUUGAGUCUAGCUCUGGGAUUGUAAACGCAUUGGGAUUGUAAAUGCACCAAUCAGUGCCCUGUCAAAACAGACCACUCGGCUCUACCAAUCAGCAGGAUGUGGGUGGGGCCAGAUAAGAGAAUAAAAGCAGGCUGCCUGAGCCAGCAGUGGCAACCUGCUUGGGUGCCCUUCCACACUGUGGAAGCUUUGUUCUUUUGCUCUUUGCAAUAAAUCUUGCUACCGCUCACUCUUUGGGUCCACACUGCUUUUAUGAGCUGUAACACUCACUGUGAAGGUCUGCAGCUUUACUCCUGAAGCCAGCGAGACCACGAGCCCACUGGGAGGAACGAACAAUUCCAGACGCACUGCCUUAAGAGCUGUAACACUCACCGCAAAGGUCUGCAGCUUCACUCCUGAGCCAGGGAGUCCACGAACCCACCAGAAGGAAGAAACUCCAAACACAUCCGAACAUCAGAAGGAACAAACUCCAGACGUGCCACCUUAAGGGCUGUAACACUCACCGUGAGGGUCCGCGGCUUCAUUCUUGAAGUCAGUGAGACCAAGAACCCACCAAUUCCGGACACAGCACCACUGCACUCCAGCCUGGGUGACAGAGCGAGACCCUGUCUCAAAAAACAAAAAACCACAGAUUGCUGGGCCCCACCCCCAGAACUUCUGUGUUGGGAGCAGGCCCCCCAAAAUCUGGCCAUAAACUGGCCCCAAAACUGGCCAUAAACAAAAUCUCUGCAGCACUGUAACGUGUUCAUAAUGGCCCUAACGCCCAAGCUGGAAGAUUGUGAUUUUAUGGGAAUGAGGGCAAGGAACACCUGGCCUGCCCAGGGCGGAAAAUGCUUGAAGGCGUUCUUAAGCUACAAACAAUAGCAUGAGCGAUCUGUGCCUUAAGAACAUGCUCCUGCUGCAGUUAACUAUCCCAACCUAUUCCUUUAAUUCGGCCCAUCCCUUCGUUUCUCACUUUUUAGUUAAUUGAAUAUCCAUAGAAACAAUGCUAAUGACUGGCUUGCUGUAAAUAAAUACGUGGGUAAAUCUCUGUUCGGGGCUCUCAGCUCUGAAAACUGUGAGACUCCUGGUUUCCCACUUCACACCUCUA
Homo sapiens (human) is the source of this 2715-nucleotide long non-coding RNA. RefSeq lists it as uncharacterized. NCBI's taxonomy places the organism in Eukaryota, Metazoa, Chordata, Mammalia, Primates, Hominidae. The transcript is spliced from 2 exons. The record is from RefSeq and is a predicted model, not a curated record.